AUGGGGAUGGCACCAUGGCAGCACCAAUCUCCAGCGCACGUGCCCCUCUUGCACCGGAGUACUACAUCUAGAUGGUCGAGUUCUACCUCGAAGCGACCCAUCGCCUCCCCAUCAGCGACAUCCCCUAUCUCGCCGACUACAUCUCCAGUAGAAGCCUCGCCGAUCCCAUCACAACAUCUUCAUCGCCACCACAGAAGCGUCCACGGGGACAACGGCCUACCUCCACCGAGUGAAGUGGAGUGCAAAUGUCGUGGCAACGCCUCCAGGCAGGAGACGACACUCUCCAGUGUCACCGCCAGCACCGGCAAGCCAAGAAAGGAUUUCUCUUUGGCAUGCCUGAGCAAUUUCAAAGCCAUCAGACCAGGACUCGGGAGUCGAAAGUCACAGGUAGGUCGAAAAGCCACCACCACCAGAAGGGGAGACGCGCCGGACACACGAACCUUGGACAUUAUGAGGGUCGAGGCAACAAGGUGGUCGGGGUUGGGAGGUUGGAGGGUCGGCGAGGCGAAAGGGGCUGAUGGAGGGGACGCGGCGGCGACAGGCGAUCCCAAUGAGCUGGUAACUGGAAGAGACGCAGAUCCAGGUCGCCGGGGCUGGUAUCGAGGCCUGAGGAGACGCAACCUCCAGAGCGUCGGGGCCAGUGUCGCGUCGCAAGAGACAUCGGAAAACGCAAGUCGAGGGUCACGGGGUCAAGAGCUACACCAGCAAGGGGUCCAUCGCAAGGGCACGAGCACUUGCAGAACGCCAGCAGGCGCCGCUGAAGCAAGCCAAAAAAUCCAUCAUUUUGAAGUCAAUGCCACAACUCAGAGGAGAAGAGUGUUGUCGCGGCGCCGCAAGGGCGGCCCGAGACCAGCGGAGGAGCACACCACCCCCAACCCCAGGUCUAGCGCCAGCAAUAAAGGAGAAGCCGACGACAGGACAUGCCUCACCAGGAUCCCAGAUCUGACACGGGGAGGAGGGGAGAGGCGGACGCACCUCGCCGGUGGCAGGAGCUCGCAACGGCCGGUAGCAGGAUGGGCGGGCAGGGGCAGCGUAGCAGGCAGCCAUCACAGACGUGCUGGCGCAGGGUGCCGCCGGCGAACGGGUGGGCUGGCAAGGGAGCCUAAGCUCGACGAGGUGCCCCGCCGCCGCCAUCCUGGGAGCCGGCUCGGGCUACCACCACCUGCCGCCACGGGGUAA
This 1179-nucleotide ribosomal RNA is filed under the name Triticum aestivum (bread wheat). RNAcentral's name for it is "partial small subunit ribosomal RNA". The record is from RNAcentral. Lineage: Eukaryota; Viridiplantae; Streptophyta; Magnoliopsida; Poales; Poaceae.